RNAcentral lists this ribosomal RNA (575 nucleotides) under Salmonella enterica. RNAcentral describes it as "partial 23S ribosomal RNA". It matches the Rfam family "Bacterial large subunit ribosomal RNA", at positions 711 to 1282 of the family's 2925-position model. The record is from RNAcentral. Lineage: Bacteria; Pseudomonadati; Pseudomonadota; Gammaproteobacteria; Enterobacterales; Enterobacteriaceae.
AGACCCGAAACCCGGUGAUCUAGCCAUGGGCAGGUUGAAGGUUGGGUAACACUAACUGGAGGACCGAACCGACUAAUGUUGAAAAAUUAGCGGAUGACCUGUGGCUGGGGGUGAAAGGCCAAUCAAACCGGGAGAUAGCUGGUUCUCCCCGAAAGCUAUUUAGGUAGCGCCUCGUGAAUUCAUCUCCGGGGGUAGAGCACUGUUUCGGCUAGGGGGCCAUCCCGGCUUACCAACCCGAUGCAAACUGCGAAUACCGGAGAAUGUUAUCACGGGAGACACACGGCGGGUGCUAACGUCCGUCGUGAAGAGGGAAACAACCCAGACCGCCAGCUAAGGUCCCAAAGUCAUGGUUAAGUGGGAAACGAUGUGGGAAGGCCCAGACAGCCAGGAUGUUGGCUUAGAAGCAGCCAUCAUUUAAAGAAAGCGUAAUAGCUCACUGGUCGAGUCGGCCUGCGCGGAAGAUGUAACGGGGCUAAACCAUGCACCGAAGCUGCGGCAGCGACACUCAGGUGUUGUUGGGUAGGGGAGCGUUCUGUAAGCCUGUGAAGGUGGCCUGUGAGGGAUGCUGGAGGUAU